Molecule: transfer RNA, 76 nt
Filed under: Caudoviricetes sp.
Lineage: Duplodnaviria; Heunggongvirae; Uroviricota; Caudoviricetes
Description: tRNA-Thr
Rfam family: tRNA
About the family: Transfer RNA (tRNA) molecules are approximately 80 nucleotides in length. Their secondary structure includes four short double-helical elements and three loops (D, anti-codon, and T loops).
Source: RNAcentral
GCUGUAAUAGCUCAGUUGGUAGAGCACUUGCCUUGUAAGCAUGGGGUCGUGGGUUCAAAGCCUACUUACAGCACCA